Non-coding RNA from Pan troglodytes (chimpanzee), 148 nucleotides. It matches the Rfam family "Metazoan signal recognition particle RNA". Rfam says of the family: The signal recognition particle (SRP) is a universally conserved ribonucleoprotein. It is involved in the co-translational targeting of proteins to membranes. The eukaryotic SRP consists of a 300-nucleotide 7S RNA and six proteins: SRPs 72, 68, 54, 19, 14, and 9. Lineage: Eukaryota; Metazoa; Chordata; Mammalia; Primates; Hominidae. The record is from Rfam.
GCCAGGCAUAGUGGUGAGUGCCUGUAGUCCCAGCUACUUGGGAGGCUGAGGCAGGAGAAUCGCUUGAACCUGGGGGGUGGAGGGUGCAGUGAGCCAAGAUCGCCCCACUGCACCCCACCCUGGGUGACAGAGUGAGACUCUGUCUCAA